Molecule: ribosomal RNA, 346 nt
Filed under: uncultured Streptococcus sp.
Lineage: Bacteria; Bacillati; Bacillota; Bacilli; Lactobacillales; Streptococcaceae
Description: bacterial SSU rRNA
Rfam family: Bacterial small subunit ribosomal RNA
Source: RNAcentral
CAGGUGGUGCAUGGUUGUCGUCAGCUCGUGUCGUGAGAUGUUGGGUUAAGUCCCGCAACGAGCGCAACCCCUAUUGUUAGUUGCCAUCAUUCAGUUGGGCACUCUAGCGAGACUGCCGGUAAUAAACCGGAGGAAGGUGGGGAUGACGUCAAAUCAUCAUGCCCCUUAUGACCUGGGCUACACACGUGCUACAAUGGUUGGUACAACGAGUUGCGAGUCGGUGACGGCGAGCUAAUCUCUUAAAGCCAAUCUCAGUUCGGAUUGUAGGCUGCAACUCGCCUACAUGAAGUCGGAAUCGCUAGUAAUCGCGGAUCAGCACGCCGCGGUGAAUACGUUCCCGGGCCUU